This 928-nucleotide non-coding RNA is filed under the name Eunectes notaeus (yellow anaconda). Lineage: Eukaryota; Metazoa; Chordata; Lepidosauria; Squamata; Boidae. The record is from RNAcentral.
CAAGGUCUUGGUCUUAAACCUAAUAUUACCUGUAACCCUGACUAUACAUGCAAGCCUCAACAAAACGGUGAGACAGCCCAAACAAACUGACGGAGUCGGCAUCAGGCCAAAAUUAACUACCAACGACGCCAAGCAUAAGCCACACCCCCACGGGCAAACAGCAGUAAUUAACAUUGGGCAAUAAGUGCAAACUUGACCCAGCAAGAGUUACACAGGGCCGGUAAAUCUCGUGCCAGCGACCGCGGUUACACGAUAGGCCCAAGAUAAUACAAACGGCGUAAAGCACGACUAGAAAACAAUCAAACAAAUUAAGGACAAAACAAAGCUAGGUUGUAAAACACCAUAAGUUAAAAUAAGCACAUAUCCUUAAACCCCUGUUUUAACUCGUGAAAAUUAGGACACAAACUAGGAUUAGAUACCCUACUAUGCCUAAUAGUAACACGGCAACCAAAAACAAUAAUGCCCGCCAAACAACUACGAGUGAAAACUUAAAACUUAAAAGACUUGACGGUACUUCAAACUCGACCUAGAGGAGCCUGUCUACUAACCGAUAACCCACGAUUAACCCAACCACUUCUGGCCAUCCAGCCUAUAUACCGCCGUCGCCAGCCCACCUUGUGAAAGAAACCAAGUGGACAAAACAGUACUACACUAACACGACGGGUCGAGGUGUAGCUCAUGAAGUGGAACAAGAUGGGCUACAUUAUCUAACUCAGAUUAAACAGACUAAGCUAUGCAAACUUAGCUCUCAAAGGAGGAUUUAGCAGUAAGAUGAGAACACAAUACUCAACUGAAAACACCGCAAUGAAGUGCGUACACACCGCCCGUCAUCCCUGCCACUAUAAGCUAAAAAAUUCAUAAUACCACGCUCAACAAAAAACAGGGCAAGUCGUAACACGGUAAGCGUACUGGAAAGUGUGCUUAGAAA